GAUGAACGCUGGCGGCGUGCCUAAUACAUGCAAGUCGAGCGAACGGACGAGAAGCUUGCCUCUCUGAUGUUAGCGGCGGACGGGUGAGUAACACGUGGAUAACCUACCUAUAAGACUGGGAUAACUUCGGGAAACCGGAGCUAAUACCGGAUAAUAUUUUGAACCGCAUGGUUCAAAAGUGAAAGACGGUCUUGCUGUCACUUAUAGAUGGAUCCGCGCUGCAUUAGCUAGUUGGUAAGGUAACGGCUUACCAAGGCAACGAUGCAUAGCCUACCUGAGAGGGUGAUCGGCCACACUGGAACUGAGACACGGUCCAGACUCCUACGGGAGGCAGCAGUAGGGAAUCUUCCGCAAUGGGCGAAAGCCUGACGGAGCAACGCCGCGUGAGUGAUGAAGGUCUUCGGAUCGUAAAACUCUGUUAUUAGGGAAGAACAUAUGUGUAAGUAACUGUGCACAUCUUGACGGUACCUAAUCAGAAAGCCACGGCUAACUACGUG
Molecule: ribosomal RNA, 497 nt
Filed under: uncultured bacterium
Lineage: Bacteria
Description: partial 16S ribosomal RNA
Rfam family: Bacterial small subunit ribosomal RNA
Source: RNAcentral